RNAcentral lists this ribosomal RNA (497 nucleotides) under uncultured bacterium. Its description in RNAcentral is "partial 16S ribosomal RNA". It matches the Rfam family "Bacterial small subunit ribosomal RNA", at positions 28 to 507 of the family's 1533-position model. The record is from RNAcentral.
GAUGAACGCUGGCGGCGUGCCUAAUACAUGCAAGUCGAGCGAACGGACGAGAAGCUUGCUUUUCUGAUGUUAGCGGCGGACGGGUGAGUAACACGUGGAUAACCUACCUAUAAGACUGGGAUAACUUCGGGAAACCGGAGCUAAUACCGGAUAAUAUUUUGAACCGCAUGGUUCAAAAGUGAAAGACGGUCUUGCUGUCACUUAUAGAUGGAUCCGCGCUGCAUUAGCUAGUUGGUAAGGUAACGGCUUACCAAGGCAACGAUGCAUAGCCGACCUGAGAGGGUGAUCGGCCACACUGGAACUGAGACACGGUCCAGACUCCUACGGGAGGCAGCAGUAGGGAAUCUUCCGCAAUGGGCGAAAGCCUGACGGAGCAACGCCGCGUGAGUGAUGAAGGUCUUCGGAUCGUAAAACUCUAUUAUUAGGGAAGAACAGAUGUGUAAGUAACUGUGCACAUCUUGACGGUACCUAAUCAGAAAGCCACGGCUAACUACGUG